This is an RNA transcript of Eleginops maclovinus (Patagonian blennie), 5560 nucleotides long. It is a transcript of the gene named metal transporter CNNM3, with no coding region annotated. The transcript has 13 exons. The record is from RefSeq and is a predicted model, not a curated record. NCBI's taxonomy places the organism in Eukaryota, Metazoa, Chordata, Actinopteri, Perciformes, Eleginopidae.
UUCCAAUAUGGUGGCCAGCUUGGCAGGUCUAUGGUUCCUGUUGAAGAUAUUGUUGUUCUGCGGGAUCAGGUACGGCGCCUGCAGCCAGGAAGCUCCGCUGGUGGUGGGGCUGCGACUGGAGAACCCGGCGGGUCUGGUGUACAUGAAGGACCGGGUCAUCUCGGCGCCAGAAGGAGCCACGUUCAAGCUCCGUCUCUACGGGACUGAGCUGAAUGGAAGCUGGCCGUGGGUGGCGUUCGCUGGGGCAGCUGGCGGAGCGGUCGGGGAUGCGCCUGAUCCCUGCGGGCAGGACUCCAACCGUGGGCAGUCUGCCUUCCAGGUGACGGGGGAGUUCACUCCGGAUGAGAAAUACAGCGGGCUGAUAAUGGUGGAGGUCCAAAAGAGGAGCAUCUCUGCUGGGGUCGACAGCGGGAAGAGCUACUACCACCUGUGUGUGCUGAGCGGGGGGAAAUGGGCUUCUGCGGGCCCGGACAGGCUGCGGAUCAACACCGACAUCCCGCCCUGGGGGCUGGUGGUGCUGGCGGUGGUGCUGCUGAUGGUGUGCGCGCUGCUGAGGACAGUGAACCUGAGCCUGCUGUGGCUGGACCCCGUGGAGCUGUAUGUGCUCCACAGCUGCGGGUCCGAGGAGGAGAAGCGGGCUGCCAAGCGCCUUGAGCCCAUCAGGAGGAGAGGGAACUUCCUGGCAUGUUCUCUGCUCUUCUUGUCUGUCCUGGGACACUCGGUCCUCAGUGUACUCCUGUACCGGGCGCUGGGCUCCAUCCUCUCUGCCGUCUUUACCAGUGGCUUCCUCAUCUUCUUCCUGGCUGAGCUGGCUCCUCACAUCCUGUGCUCUGGGUAUGGCUUUCAGCUGGCGCCGGGUCUCACCUGGCUGGCCCAGGUUUGUCUGGUGCUCACCUUCCCCCUGUCAUGCCCUCUGGGGCUGAUCCUGGACCUGGCACUGAGGAGGGACAUCACCACCUGUGGGAUCAGGGAGAGGGCCAUGGAGAUGAUCCGCACAAGUGUCAAUGAUCCUUAUAGUGAGUUUGUGAAGGAGGAGUUCAGCCGCGGGAUGCUGCGCAGUAAGACGGUGGAGGACAUCUUGACCCCGCUGAAGGACUGCUUCAUGCUGCCCAGCUCCAUCAUCCUUGACUUCUCCACCAUGUCGGAGAUCAUGCAGAGUGGAUACAACAGGGUGCCCAUCUACGAGGAGGAGAGGUCCAACAUCGUCGAGAUCCUUUACGUGAAGGACUUGGCUCUGGUGGACCCGGACGACUGCACUCCCAUGACGACUAUCACCAAGUUUUACAAUCACCCUCUGCACUACGUCUUCAACGACACAAAACUGGACGCCAUGCUGGAGGAGUUCAAGAAAGGCAACUCUCACAUGGCCAUCGUGCAGAAGGUAAACAACGAGGGGGAGGGGGAUCCUUUCUAUGAGGUGCUGGGAUUGGUCACGCUGGAGGACGUUAUCGAGGAGAUCAUCAAAUCAGAGAUCCUGGAUGAAUCUGACGGCUACUUGGACAGGAAGGUGAAGCGUCCCCUCGCCCCACUGGAGAUUCCUCUGGAGCCUCGCACCGUUCACGAGGAGUUUUCUCUCUUCAAGCUUCCUGAAGGAGAACCCAAGAUCCGAACAUCACCACAGCUCCUGUUGGCCACCCACCGCUUCCUGUCCAGAGAGGUGUCACACUUCAGCCCUGGACGUGUUUCUGAGAAGAUCCUGUUCCACCUGCUCCGCCACCCCAGUGUCAACCAGGAAGUGCACUUUGACCCCAACAACCGUCUGAGUGCGGCUCACUAUCUGUACACGCGCAACCACCCGGUGGACUAUUUCAUCCUGCUGCUGCAGGGUCGUGUGGAAGUGGAGAUCGGUAAAGAGGGGCUGAAGUUUGACAACGGAGCGUUUACAUACUAUGGCGUGUCGGCGCUCACGCUGCCAUCUUCAGUGCAUCAGUCUCCUGUGUCGACCCAGUGUCACUCUCCCAGAGAUCCCUUUGAGUCAGCAGACGCCACAAGCCCGUCCAGUUAUUGUCCCGACUACACCGUCCGAGCUCUCACUGACCUGCAGCUCAUACGUGUGACACGUCUCCAGUAUCUGAACGCUCUCAUGGCCUCCCGGGUCGGUCAGAGUCCUGAUCCUCCAGAAAUAAAGAUCCUGCCCAACAGUCAGACCAAGCUGCUCAACGAGAGAAACACCACACAACAAGAUUUCCCUGUAAACUUUUCAUUCUUUGACACCAUUGAGAACUACUGUUAGUUUUAUUUGUGCAUGAGUUUCUGCUUUUCCCUGAAAUCAUCUCACUUCUCUCUGUUGGGUGGCAGUAGCACCCAGGAGAGCUCAACAGAAGAAGAGGCUCAUGGGUAGUGCGGUUCUGACCUGCUCCAACACAGUAGAGGUUUUAGUUUGUUUUUAUUAAUGAAUCAUCUAUGGCUGGAACGUAGUUAUUGGACAAGACUGGAGUGAGAGUGAUUUUAUUUGUUUUGUAGAUCCACUGCUCACAUAUCUCAUUCCUUGAUGUGAUUUUCAUUGCAAUAUUAUUUGAUGCUGUUUCAUACACUUUGAACUAUCUACAGUAUGUGUGUAAAUACAUAAAUACAUUUUAUUUUAAUUUGGCGGCGCCUUUCUUCCAGGUUUGUACUAAACUCUGUAUUGCAAUGAUUCGUCACUUGUGACUGUCUGGGUGCCAAAGGGGGGGGUUUGUGUGUGGGUGUGUGUGUGUGUGUGUGUGUGAGCACGUGCGUUGUCUGUACUCGGGUGUAAAUCCGUCCGACAUUAAAAAAUAAAUAACAACGGUUGGUUAAAAAGCAGAUUUGCACAUUGAAGUUGUGCACUGUAGAUAGUCUUAAGCUAUUUUUCAAGCUGUUAGGUACGUCCACAUUUUUCUACACUCACACAACAUUGCUAUCAGACACAAAGGUGUGUGUUCAGCUUUCAGUGGUUUGUAAUUUAAAUAUUCAUUAGUCAAGUGGAGGGUAAAGGCCCAGGAUGUAACCAAAGUGAAAAAGACUAAACACUCCUUACUAACUAAGAGUGAUAUUUUUUUAUGGAUGCUGACAUUUGACAGAAACUUAAGGGGCCUCCAGAUGAAGAUUUUGUUUGUAAAAAAAAAAAGAGCUAAAACAAUUAAUCAAUUCUCCGAAAAUAAUCGGCAACUAUUUUGUUAAUCAACUAUCUGUCUUAGUUGUACAGAUACGCUGCUAUUCUUUGUCUUGUGUGAUGAUAAGCUGAACAUUUUGUGUUUUGAGCGACACAACAAGACAUUGGAAGAUGUCACUUUGGUCUUAAAUUGGGCCGAUUUUCCCCGUUUUCUGACAUUUCAUAGAUCAAACAAACAUCAAAAGCAAAAAAUCGUCCAACAUCAGCGUUUUUUGGUAGAGUAUCGAAUGUGUGGUCAGUUUCGUUUUAUUCUGUCACCAUAUAGUUCCUACAUUUUAAAUUUGUUAACACUGGAUUUAUUAUUUGUGCAGUUUAACGUGAAGUGAUGAAAAAACGUUUUGAACUUUUAGUCUAGGAAUCAGCAAAUUAAUUUACAGUAACAAGUAUUUCUUAAAGUAAGGUUUUGAUAAAAUUAUGCAAUUGGUAUUUGUACCAAAACGGAGGUCUUCAGAAUCAGAAUACCUUUAUUCCUCGGGGAAACGUACAUUGUGACAGCCAAAGUGAAGAUUGAAACAAACAAAAACAAAACACUAUUAGAUAAGAUAAAGGGCAUGUACAAAAUACAUUUCAUUCAAAAUAAAAAAACAUAUUCCAAUUUACAUACGUCAUAGAUUUUCCAAUUUACAUAUUGCACACAAGUGUAAUUGCACAACAGUAAUGUCGUAGGCUUGUUCGUUACAUUAAUCAUCACGACUGUAUCCGUUUAAAACAUUUUGAACUCCAAUUAGUAAUGGGGUUGACAUAAAAUUAGACAGUAAUCUUAAGGAUUCAUCUUUUUGGCCAUUUUUUUCUUACAUUUGGUGCUGUAGUGAGUUUUAGGUGCAGCAGUACAGUGUGGGAUUCAGGCCAAAUAAACUACCAAGUGUGUUCAUGCUAAUAAUGAAACAUGUCCCUCAGUGCAGCAGUGUGGCCUAUUCAUGUGUUUUGAAAAGUUUUCAGACAACAAUGGGGCUCUAUGGCACAAAGUGGAAGAUUUAUCAGGCUUUGCAGGAGAUUCGAUUAAUCUCUCUAAAUCUUCUGUCUUUGUUAUCAUAUAUUUUGGUCACUUUACCAUUCCAGUACAUGUUGCCAUCUGUUUGUUUUAUCCAUCUGUCUAUGAAUGUGUGUCCGUGUGUGUGAGUGAUAUACAAUAUUUCACUACACAUAAGCAAGCAAGCAUCCAGUCUUCACCUUACCCAUCCUGAUGAUUUCCUAACAUGUAUUUAAAGCUUCUGUCUGUCAUUGUUGCAUGAGUGUAAACAUGUAGAUAUGUCAGACAUGGCUUCUAAAAAACCCUACCCCUUUGUGUUUCCAGUUCGUACAUUAAUGUAUUUACGGUAAGGAGGACUCUGUGUAUGCUGUAUUCAAAUCAGAGUUUUAAAAUAUAUUUUUAAUGCAGUACUAGCAUGCAAACCUAUUGUUGAGGAAGUCUAUAUUGGCCAUAAACACUGUCAAAAAAACAAACAAUUAAUCUCCAUGGCAAAGAUACACUCAGAUGGUUGCUCGAAAAUACCCACUAUGUAUGUCGUAUUGUGCGAACAUGGUCGCACUCGAAGGCAGUAAUUACUUUAAUUCAAGGAAAUGAGUGCAGUGUUGGGGGAAAUAUUCAGAUCCUAACCCUAACCCUAACCCUAACCCACUUAAAUAACAUACCACACUAUAAAAAUACUCAAAUACAAGUAAAUCAACUGAAGUAUGAUCACUCAAAGUAUUCAUUAUGCAGUAAAAUGUUCCCACUUUUUGGAUCAAUAUUACUGCUGCAUUAUGUCUAUGUUGCAUUGUAUUGCUUUAGAUUGUAAGGACGUGCUAAUCUUAAUAUUGAUAAUACUCAAAAUACUCAAAAAUAAAAUACACUCAACACACAUGUGAGUACUGUGUUAAAUUAAGCUUCACCCAUUUAAACAGCAUCGGGGUUAUUUAGGAAUCGGCUCUAUGUUACAUUUGCACCAUUUCUGUCUUUUAUUGGUGUCCAUUUUAUUCCAUUUUUGUGUUUGCUUCAUUCAGUGUUAUCACCAUUGCCAUAUUCCAGGAGAAAUCUUUGUGAUUCUGAGUAAAUAUUUUUCAUCCGUUUACUUUUGUUAUGUUGUAAUAAGUACAUUUUUAUGGUAUGAAGAGAAUGUAAAAGGAUAAUCGUUACUUUGUACUGAUUGAGAGAUUUUCUGGUUCAAGAAGCGUGUAUUAAUAUAUGACUGCUUAGAUAUAUUAUAAUUUGAGGAUGUAGUUUUUAGGUAAUCAGUUUUCAGGUACAAUAACGCUGUUAAUACACAAGAGUUAUUGAGAGGUAUACAGUUAAAGCAAUUCCUCUUCUGUAAAGGUUACAUUUGUAUAGAUCUUUAUUUUAGUUUUUGGGAAUGCUGCCGGGUUUUUUUGGUGCGUUGAGACUCCAUUAUAUUAACACUUUCAAUAAUCAAGUUUCUUAGGAAAUAAACUCAAUCCUGUUCUAAAAUG